This 484-nucleotide ribosomal RNA is filed under the name uncultured bacterium. RNAcentral describes it as "partial 16S ribosomal RNA". It matches the Rfam family "Bacterial small subunit ribosomal RNA", at positions 30 to 507 of the family's 1533-position model. The record is from RNAcentral.
AUUGAACGCUGGCGGCAGGCCUAACACAUGCAAGUCGAGCGGAUGAAGGGAGCUUGCUCCUGGAUUCAGCGGCGGACGGGUGAGUAAUGCCUAGGAAUCUGCCUGGUAGUGGGGGAUAACGUCCGGAAACGGGCGCUAAUACCGCAUACGUCCUGAGGGAGAAAGUGGGGGAUCUUCGGACCUCACGCUAUCAGAUGAGCCUAGGUCGGAUUAGCUAGUUGGUGGGGUAAAGGCCUACCAAGGCGACGAUCCGUAACUGGUCUGAGGGGAUGAUCAGUCACACUGGAACUGAGACACGGUCCAGACUCCUACGGGAGGCAGCAGUGGGGAAUAUUGGACAAUGGGCGAAAGCCUGAUCCAGCCAUGCCGCGUGUGUGAAGAAGGUCUUCGGAUUGUAAAGCACUUUAAGUUGGGAGGAAGGGCAGUAAGUUAAUACCUUGCUGUUUUGGCGUUACCAACAGAAUAAGCACCGGCUAACUUCGUG